AUCGAUCUUCACUGCAGGACACAAAUGAUGAUCCUUGACAUUUAGCUUUUAUAUACCGUCUUCCUCCGAUCGCGGUCACCGCGCUUUUACGGAAGGGACUAUCAUAUCGCGACUUGUCAGCAGUGAAUAACUGAAGAAGUGACCAUGAACAGGUUGGAAGGAGGAAAGCCUUUCGCUAUUACCCCACGCAAAACUAAGUCGUUGACACACAUCCAUCAUCAUAUUCCUUGUCCGACUCUUCUGUACAGCUUAUAACUAUUUCUACAUAAUUCUGCGUCUUAAUUUCAACAAAUACGGGCUAAAUUACAAAUAUCUAUCACAUGGUAAAUUCGAAGAGCCCAAGAUGAAGAACCUUUUUCAAUUUUAUGAGCGAGUAUUCUGCCCUCCUGCCUCUCUUUCUCUUUCUCUUUCUCGCUCAGCAGCUGUUACCAAUGCCGCAAUCCCAGUAAUAUGGUCCCCUUCUCGCGUUUCUCUCUCACUUAUGCUCCUUCUGGGUGAUCGAGGUUUUUCCCGCACAUAAGGGUGUUGUUUUGGGACAUAUCUGAAGCUGAUACUCUGGGAUAGAGGGUGACGGGGGCUUGAAGGCUCACGAUAACGAAGCUCUGAGGAGAUCGACGGGAGGGAGAAUGGCUCGUGCUCCUUAUCACUUCCGCGGUCUGAUAAUGCCGAUGCAACAGAGGGAAGAUGGUGCGGAGGAGAAGGCGAACGGCCAUAAUAGUUGGAGUAGACACUCGCACCAGAUGUUGCGCGAGGCCGGAGAGGUGGUAAGGUAGGAAGGUUGAAGCGAGAUGUACGACUGAAGUUGGGAGUGGUAACAGGAAUUGUCGCCGUUGAUGUAGGUGAAUUAGCUGCAGCAGAUUCCAAAGAAAUCCUGUCCGGAGGCGACGCUUGGUACAAUCCCAAACUUGAUGUUGCCAAGAAAGGACGGUCGGGAUGCGAAGACUGUGAAUAACGAUAUUUUUGUUGUGGUACAACAGGGGAUACUGGCAGUAUAUAAAAUCCACGCCUGAGGACGUCAUGUCGUUCGACGCCCCAUUCCCGAGCCAUUUCCGACCACCAAUGGUUGAGACGCUCCUCGGUCAGCUGAUGUUUUACGUCUCUGACAAGAAGGUCCGAUUUCUCAAGGUCAUCGCAACCUCUGCAUAGAGAAUGGAUACUUACAGCUAAACCCUUCGCGACCGGUCUGAUUGAUGGCGUCCAUAAUGACGAUCAGAUUUUCGAUUGCUUGACUUUGCCUUCUAGCCGUGAACACGCCGUCGCUGACUGAUGCCACAGCUGCUUGAAGGUAAAACAUCCCACACUCGGCGACAGCAUGCAUGUAGGCAUACAUCCAUCCUGACGCCUUGAUUUCGGCCACUGAAGAUGACAGUUUGGAGACGGCCAUGGUCAGGUUUGGCUCGUUGAAGUGCAUGUGCGAGGGUAAGGCCAUCGCCCAGGCCUUGAGAGCGGCUUCAAGUCUUGCAGCAAGAGUCUGUUUGGAGUCACCAGCAUUGGGAUCUGUGGCAAGAGACAUAAUGUCUGCCAAUAUGGAAAGCUAAGAGAUGAACACCGUCUUCACCGAGCCAAUUCCCCGUGCCCGCGACCAAGCCAUCCCUUCUGCCGGGCUCUCUCCCGCCGAUGCCCCCACCACCCCAUCUGGCCCAAUGGGCUUCUGUCCCUGGUAAAGGAAUUGCUCCCAGAUCUGCCUCUCCGAAUUUCCUUGGUCUACCAUUGGAAGCCGCGCACAAGUCAUGCAAUACAAAGGCCCAGAAUGUGCGGGUGCGGCAUUCCAUGUGAGUAGUAUACUCUAUGGGAUUCGCUCCUGUAGGCGCGGCUGGCGGUUGUAUAUAAGCCGCUGAUGAUGGACGAAGAAUAUCGACUCCAGCAUCAAGAUAGAAAAGACCAAGCUUAGGUUCAUGGAGACAAGUGAAGUAGACGCUCAACAGAUAGGCUGCUUGAGCUAAUUCGGUCUCUUGCCAUGACCCUCUAUCGGCCCGGCGAGUCUCUUCACUCCAUGCGUUGCGCUGUUGGAUCAAGUUUUCCGCGCUACGAUGAGCACGGAGUGCGAAGAGUUCACCUCGCAAAUGGGAGGGGUGAUUUGGGGGAAAUGUUUGCAGAAAAAACGGGUUUUCGCAUAGUCGGGCAGCAAACGCGUACAUGGAAUCGAGCAAGAUGGGCGAGACCCGAUUGAGGUAAAGGCGAUAAUUGAAAGUUGUAUAUAAGCACUUAACUUGUUCAACCCCACUCACUGUCAACAAGCUCAGCGCCCAGUGAGACGUCCAUGUCUACAACCUGGAGCGGACCAAUGGAUGGCUUUCGGUUGGCUUCGGAUUCAGGGUCCAUUUGUCCAUCUCCAAGCGACUGAUUGCUUUCUCCACUUGCUCGCCUAUCCUCUUGACUGGCGAUAUCACUGCCAUCGGCACUGGUAGCUUUGCAGUCGUCUUUGCCCUUGCUCGAAGUGUUGGUAGAAGGGUCGCGGGUCCGCGGCGGCGGAAUGGGUUCCCCUUGCGCAUUGAGGUAUUGACAUGGUCGAUUGGAAAACUCGCAGUUGGAACAAGGGGCAAAACCAUCGCACCUUCUCUUGUUUUUCUGAUGAUGGAAUCCAGUUUAGCUGAAUAAGGUUGACCACUAUAGUAAAACAACAAAACAACUUACAUGACAGGCACUACACGCCUUGGCUAAUCUCUUCCUUUUUCUUCCCUUGGUGGUCAACUCUUCUUUGUCCACAUUUUCUUCUUUACCCCUUUUAGUGCUGAAUUUUGGGCUUGCCUUCUCUUCUGUGGGAGUACCUAGUAUGAGAUUGGAGUUCGUCAUCGGUCCUACUGAACUCAGUGAAGUGCGAAAGGGCGGUGGAUGGGGCCUGUUACUAGAGCAGUGGAAUGACUCUCUCCUCGGGAGAAGAGGAGAGGGGUGAUAGCGUUGAGAUGAAGGUUGUAACCCUCCUUCUUGAGACUGAUCGGCAGGAGCGUCCUUGAGAGGAACGGAGGGAAGGUUCAUGGAUGAAGGGGAGGGAUAAGCUGAAAGGGCUGGAGUGACUGGAUACAAACUCGUCGCAGAAGGAACCGAAGUAAUUAAUGGUUGAGUUUUGCUU
This 3070-nucleotide small RNA is filed under the name Cryptococcus neoformans H99. RNAcentral's name for it is "Cryptococcus neoformans var. grubii H99 hypothetical RNA". The record is from RNAcentral. Lineage: Eukaryota; Fungi; Basidiomycota; Tremellomycetes; Tremellales; Cryptococcaceae.